GCCCAUCUCUGUGGGCACGAAGCGCACGCAGUAGGUGUCGUUUCCAGCGGCAACCAGCUCAGCAGGCUGACUGGCUCCAGAGGGGGAAGUGACCUCAGCAGUGACGUCCUUCAUGUCGAUCGCUGUCAACGGAAGGGCUCUAUAACGCACCCUCCACCCCUGCACUGCCCACCGAGCAGCGGGCAUCAAAAAGCCAAACACCCCUCGCUGGCUUCGCUCUGCCCGCUAACACUAGACCAGAGAGGCCAGAGAUGAGGCGGACACGCCCAGGAGAGAGGCUCUGAUCCGGGACAACAGCAGAGGGACGAGCCCGGCGACUGCCGGAUCUUCCAGACCACCAGAGGGAACAGUAGGAGCGGGAGGAGGUGUGAGAGAGGAGCUGCCGAGACAAGACCAGGAGGAACCAGCUCACUGGAGGAAGAGGAGGAUGACCAAGAGGAGAGGCGUCCUCUGUGUAGACGAUGAAGGUGGCCAUCUUGUUGGCGACGCCGUAGCUCAGACCAGGACCGUAGGCUGUGACGUUGGGACUGCUGGCGUGGUUCACAUAGAACUGGAGGGGAGACUCUGCAACACAC
This is a long non-coding RNA of Seriola aureovittata, 575 nucleotides long. RefSeq lists it as uncharacterized. The transcript is spliced from 3 exons. NCBI's taxonomy places the organism in Eukaryota, Metazoa, Chordata, Actinopteri, Carangiformes, Carangidae. The record is from RefSeq and is a predicted model, not a curated record.